GGUAACCCGAAAGAGAGAGAAAGUAAACCUCCACCUCAGAAGUCAUCCAGGUUAAAUAACCUUUUAACAUUGAAUGAGAUAAAGAACAAAUUAAAAAAGAUAAAUAGAAAUUUUAAAAAGAAGUGAGAGAGAAUCUCUCUUGACACAAAACAGAGCACCGCUGCUCUUCUUGUGUGUGAGUAUUUAAAAGGGUCUAAAUGCAUGUUUUUUUUUUUUCUUACUGAGUACCUGUGUGGUGUUACACCACUAAUCCUGAAACCAGGGCUCAAGCUUGAAAGGAAUAUGCGUUUGCCUUUUAAGGAAAUGCAACCUGGAUCAGUGGUUAGCUUAGCCUAGCAUAACGACUGGAGAAUGACAAUAAACCUGUUUGUUGUUUAUUUAAUCCAGACAAAACACGUGUUUUGUGGGUAGAAUAUGUCCUAGCCUGGUGCUGUUUCAGCAAAGAAUAAUUUGACAUUUAAAAAAAACAAAAGAUUUAAAAUUAAUCUACAUAUUCUGAAAAGAGACAGAAGGUUUUAUUUUAUUUUUGCAGAUGCCACCAGUGUGUCUGACUUGGCUCUGUUAAACUAACAAUACUGAAACAGAGCUCAUCAUUCAAACGUCUAAAAGCAUCUGAAACCAGAAGUAAUAAAAUGUCUGCAUAAAGCACGAGACUGUGGACCUCCCCACCACUAAAAAAACACACAUCAGUUUCCUGUUUAAUAAUUACAUACAACAACAGAGGAGGUAGAGACUUGUUAGAUGAUGGUGUAAUCUGUCAGUCGAAGGUCAGGCCGAUGGCCGGGUCAGAUCUAGUUAUCCUCUGGUGACCCUUGAAUGAAGGCGGUCAUUUAUGCUGUUCAGACUUUGGGAGAUUUUCCAGAGGUUCAUUUGGAUAAAGUCCAGACUGCUUGAAUAAUGAAGGUUUGUGCCUUAAACCUAUCAAUGCUGGCAGAUACACCACUACCAGUACGCCUAUCUUUAUAAUAUCAGCUGUGUAGAUGUACCAGUUUAUCUCCGUUGUUUACCUUUAACUUUUUUUAAUACUUUAAGUGUAAACAUUGAUUUAUUUCUGUUUUGUGGUGCAAUAUUCUGAUUUUGAUUCUGACACAACACUCUUCAAAAGUAGAUUUUUUAAACAUUUUAAACACUAAAAAUAAGCUUUACAUAAAAAGGAUUACACACUGACAUGUGCAGAGGAGGGAUAAUGGAUAUACUGGACAUGCUUAAUAUGAAGGGGUAAAAGAGGAAGACCAGGAUGUCGUGACGGAGGACAUGCAGAGGGUCGGUGUGACAGAGGGGGAUGAUAAGGACAGGGAGGACAAUGAGACUAACUGAAAAUACCAUGACUCUGAAUUUAAUAGUUAAUGAAACGUUUUUAUUGUCAACUCAGUUGACUGACAUCUCUUAAUCGUUAGUUUUGAUGGUCGCACCACCAUUGUUUAAUAUUUUCACACAUCAGUAUUUGCUCUGGAUCAUAAUGGCUCACUGAAAUGCAAAGUAUGUGAAUGUAUAAACCAGUGAAUAAAAAACAAGCACUGUGC
Molecule: long non-coding RNA, 1523 nt
Organism: Astatotilapia calliptera (eastern happy)
Lineage: Eukaryota; Metazoa; Chordata; Actinopteri; Cichliformes; Cichlidae
Source: Ensembl